This 559-nucleotide ribosomal RNA is filed under the name uncultured Aschersonia. RNAcentral describes it as "LSU rRNA". It matches the Rfam family "Eukaryotic large subunit ribosomal RNA", at positions 102 to 685 of the family's 3401-position model. The record is from RNAcentral. Lineage: Eukaryota; Fungi; Ascomycota; Sordariomycetes; Hypocreales; Clavicipitaceae.
CAACAGCUCAAAUUUGAAAUCUGGCCCCCAGGGCCCGAGUUGUAAUUUGCAGAGGAUGCUUUUGGCGCGGGGCCUUCCGAGUUCCCUGGAACGGGACGCCUUAUAGGGUGAGAGCCCCGUCUGGUCCGACGCCUAGCCUGUGUAAAGCUCCUUCGACGAGUCGAGUAGUUUGGGAAUGCUGCUCUAAAUGGGAGGUAUAUGUCUUCUAAAGCUAAAUACCGGCCAGAGACCGAUAGCGCACAAGUAGAGUGAUCGAAAGAUGAAAAGUACUUUGAAAAGAGGGUUAAAUAGUACGUGAAAUUGUUGAAAGGGAAGCGCUUGUGACCAGACUUGGGGCCUGAGGAUCAUCCGGCGUUCUCGCUGGUGCACUCCCCCGGGUUGACGCCAUCAUCAUUUCGCCGCGGGGGAAAGAGGCUUCAGGAACGUGGCUCCUACGGGAGUGUUAUAGCCCGCUGCAUAAUACCCUGGGGCGGACUGACGUUCCCGCUCCGCAGGGAUGCUGGCGUAGUGUUCAUCAGCAACCCCUCUUGACACACAGACCAGAGAGAAUCACUAGUGC